RNAcentral lists this ribosomal RNA (445 nucleotides) under uncultured bacterium. RNAcentral describes it as "partial 16S ribosomal RNA". It matches the Rfam family "Bacterial small subunit ribosomal RNA", at positions 338 to 795 of the family's 1533-position model. The record is from RNAcentral.
CCUACGGGUGGCUGCAGUAGGGAAUGUUCGGCAAUAGGGGGAACCCUGACCGAGCAACGCCGCGUGAACGAAGAAGUUAUUCGGAAUGUAAAGUUCUGUUAACAGGGAAGAAAGAGAAAUUGGACGGUACCUGAAGAAUAAGCUCCGGCUAACGCCGUGCCAGCAGCCGCGGUAAUACGGAGGGAGCGAGCGUUCUCCGGAAUUAUUGGGCGGAAAGGGUGCGUCGAUGGCAUAGGAAGUCUUUUGUAAAAGGCUGGGCUCAACCCAGGAGGGCAAACGAUACUGCAAAGCUAGAGUAUGCCAGAGGCAAGUGGCACUACAUGUGUAGCGGUUAAAUGCGUACCUAUAUGUCAGAACCCCAGUGGCGAAGGCGGCUUGCUGGGUCGAUCCUGACAUUGAGGCACGACAGCGUGGUGAGCAAACAGGAUUAGAUACCCCUGUAGUC